This 482-nucleotide ribosomal RNA is filed under the name uncultured bacterium. Its description in RNAcentral is "bacterial SSU rRNA". It matches the Rfam family "Bacterial small subunit ribosomal RNA", at positions 20 to 518 of the family's 1533-position model. The record is from RNAcentral.
UGGCUCAGGACGAACGCUGGCGGCGUGCCUAACACAUGCAAGUCGAGCGAGGAGAUUCCUUCGGGAUGAUCCUAGCGGCGGACGGGUGAGUAACACGUGGGCAACCUGCCUCAUAGAGAGGAAUAGCCUUCCGAAAGGGAGAUUAAUACCUCAUAACAUUGCAGUUUCGCAUGGAACAGCAAUUAAAGGAGCAAUCCGCUAUGAGAUGGGCCCGCGGCGCAUUAGCUAGUUGGUGAGGUAACGGCUCACCAAGGCGACGAUGCGUAGCCGACCUGAGAGGGUGAUCGGCCACAUUGGGACUGAGACACGGCCCAGACUCCUACGGGAGGCAGCAGUGGGGAAUAUUGCACAAUGGGGGAAACCCUGAUGCCAGCAACGCCGCGUGAGUGAUGACGGCCUUCGGGUUGUAAAGCUCUGUCUUCAGGGACGAUAAUGACGGUACCUGAGGAGGAAGCCACGGCUAACUACGUGCCAGCCGCCGC